GACGAACGCUGGCGGCGGGCUUAACACAUGCAAGUCGAACGGAAAGGCCCUGCUUGUGUGGGGUGUCAGAGGGGCGAAGGGGUGAGUAACAUGUGAGUAACCUGGCCUGGGCUUGGGGAUAACUGGAGGAAAGUGGUGCUAAUACCGGAGAGGAGCGCCUGCUGCAUGGGGGGGGUCGGAAAGUUUCGGCGGUUGGGGAUGGAUUGGCGGCUUACUAGCUUGUUGGUGGGGUAGUGGCUUACGAAGGCUUUGAUGGGUAGCCGGACUGAGAGGGUGACCCGCGACAUUGGGACUGAGAUACGGCCGCGACUCGUAAGAGAGGCAGCAGUGCGGAAUAUUGCACCAUGGGCGGAAGCCUGAUGAAGCAACGCCGCGUGCUGGAUAACGGCCUUCGGGUUGUAAAACGCUUUCGCCUGUGACCCAGCGUGAGUGACGGUAAUCGGUAGAGAGACACCGGGUAAAUACGUG
Molecule: ribosomal RNA, 468 nt
Filed under: uncultured bacterium
Lineage: Bacteria
Description: partial 16S ribosomal RNA
Rfam family: Bacterial small subunit ribosomal RNA
Source: RNAcentral